This 245-nucleotide ribosomal RNA is filed under the name uncultured bacterium. RNAcentral's name for it is "partial 16S ribosomal RNA". It matches the Rfam family "Bacterial small subunit ribosomal RNA", at positions 15 to 250 of the family's 1533-position model. The record is from RNAcentral.
GAUCCUGGCUCAGGAUGAACGCUAGCUACAGGCUUAACACAUGCAAGUCGAGGGGCAGCAUUUCAGUUUGCUUGCAAACUGAAGAUGGCGACCGGCGCACGGGUGAGUAACACGUAUCCAACCUGCCGAUAACUCGGGGAUAGCCUUUCGAAAGAAAGAUUAAUAUCCGAUGGUAUAAUUAGACCGCAUGGUCUUGUUAUUAAAGAAUUUCGGUUAUCGAUGGGGAUGCGUUCCAUUAGGCUAGG